Molecule: ribosomal RNA, 406 nt
Filed under: uncultured bacterium
Lineage: Bacteria
Description: partial 16S ribosomal RNA
Rfam family: Bacterial small subunit ribosomal RNA
Source: RNAcentral
AUUGAACGCUGGCGGCAGGCCUAACACAUGCAAGUCGAGCGAGCGGCGGACGGGUGAGUAAUUUCUGGGAAACUGCCUGAUGGAGGGGGAUAACUACUGGAAACGGUAGCUAAUACCGCAUACCAUAAGUUGUGCACAGAUGUGAUUAGCUAGUAGGUGGGGUAACGGCUCACCUAGGCGACGAUCCCUAGCUGGUCUGAGAGGAUGACCAGCCACACGGGAACUGAGACACGGUCCAUACGCCUACGGGAGGCAGCAGUGGGGAAUAUUGCACAAGGGGCGCAAGCCUGAUGCAGCCAUGCCGCGUGUGUGAAGAAGGCCUUCGGGUUGUAAAGCACUUUCAGCGGGGAGGCGUUACCCGCAGAAGAAGCACCGGCUAACUCCGUGCCAGCAGCCGCGGUAAUAC